UCCCUGGUGGCUCAGCGGUAAAGAAUCAGCCUGCAAUUCAGGAGAUCCAGGUUCGAUCCCUGGCUCAGGAA
Molecule: transfer RNA, 71 nt
Filed under: Ovis aries (sheep)
Lineage: Eukaryota; Metazoa; Chordata; Mammalia; Artiodactyla; Bovidae
Rfam family: tRNA
About the family: Transfer RNA (tRNA) molecules are approximately 80 nucleotides in length. Their secondary structure includes four short double-helical elements and three loops (D, anti-codon, and T loops).
Source: Rfam by way of RNAcentral